UUGGGGGUUUACAAUUUCAUCUAAUCCACUCUCUCUUACCUACUACCCUUGAAUAUUAGUUUGAUUAAUUCAAAUGUUAUGUGACUUUCUUAGCCUCCCCUUAACCCGAUCUCUCGGCGAAAAGGGCCUAAUAUUAACUAUUGGCUUGCUAUCCCUAGCCUCCCCUAGUAAUUAAUACCGCAUUAUAAACAGAAGUUAGCGC
RNAcentral lists this long non-coding RNA (202 nucleotides) under Vigna radiata. RNAcentral's name for it is "long non-coding RNA (VRAD_LNC013409)". Lineage: Eukaryota; Viridiplantae; Streptophyta; Magnoliopsida; Fabales; Fabaceae. The record is from RNAcentral.